AGUCGAGCGGUAGAGAGAAGCUUGCUUCUCUUGAGAGCGGCGGACGGGUGAGUAAUGCCUAGGAAUCUGCCUGGUAGUGGGGGAUAACGUUCGGAAACGAACGCUAAUACCGCAUACGUCCUACGGGAGAAAGCAGGGGACCUUCGGGCCUUGCGCUAUCAGAUGAGCCUAGGUCGGAUUAGCUAGUUGGUGAGGUAAUGGCUCACCAAGGCGACGAUCCGUAACUGGUCUGAGAGGAUGAUCAGUCACACUGGAACUGAGACACGGUCCAGACUCCUACGGGAGGCAGCAGUGGGGAAUAUUGGACAAUGGGCGAAAGCCUGAUCCAGCCAUGCCGCGUGUGUGAAGAAGGUCUUCGGAUUGUAAAGCACUUUAAGUUGGGAGGAAGGGCAGUUACCUAAUACGUGAUUGUUUUGACGUUACCGACAGAAUAAGCACCUGUUAACUCUGUGCCAGCAGCCGCGGUAAUACAGAGGGUGCAAGCGUUAAUCGGAAUUACUGGGCGUAAAGCGCGCGUAGGUGGUUUGUUAAGUUGGAUGUGAAAUCCCCGGGCUCAACCUGGGAACUGCAUUCAAAACUGACUGACUAGAGUAUGGUAGAGGGUGGUGGAAUUUCCUGUGUAGCGGUGAAAUGCGUAGA
Molecule: ribosomal RNA, 639 nt
Filed under: uncultured bacterium
Lineage: Bacteria
Description: bacterial SSU rRNA
Rfam family: Bacterial small subunit ribosomal RNA
Source: RNAcentral